GCUGCCAACGUAAAAAUAGGCCCCUCUGGCAGGCCCUGUCGGGGCUUUUGUUCUUAUCCUGGGACUUCAAGGGGCACAGAUCCAACAUGAGCUACGGGAAAUUAAUAAAAAAAAAAAUUUACAAGAAUGGGUGAGAGGGAGAAGCAAGGAAGGAGCACAGGGGGAUUUGCCAGAGGAGUUUAUUUUUCAGCUCCGUGAUAUAGCACUUCAGCUGAUUUGACAUUAAUUCUUAGAGACAGACUCUUGUGGGAUGGCAGCAAGCAGGCAUUCCUGGGAAACUGCUCAGGAAUUAAGUGUUUCCCUUUUCAGCUCUGCCGCUUCCUCUGCGGAGCUAUUGCCCCUGUUCUGCAGGUAGGACAAGGGAGGAAUCAUAGACUCUCAGACUGGUUUGGGUUGGAAGGGACAGUUAAAAGCCCCCCAGUUCCCCCCCUGCCCCGGGCAGGGACACCUCCCACCACACCACGUUGCUCCAAGCCCCCUCCAACCUGCCCUUGAACCCCUCCAGGGAUGGGGCAGCCACAGCUUCUCUGGGCAACCUGGGCCAGGCUCUCACCACCCUCACACCAAACAAGUUCUUCCCCACAGCUCAGCUCCAUCUCCCCUCUUUCAGGGUCAAACCCUUCCCCCUCAUCCUGUGACUCCUGGACUCCCUGAUCCAGAGUCCCCUCCCCAGCUUUCCUGGAGCCCCUUGAGGGACUAGGAAGGGUCUAGAAGGUCUCCCCGGAGCCUUCUCUUCUCCAGAUUGAGCCCCUCAACUCUCUCAACCUGUCCUCACGGCAGAGGGGUGGCUCACAGCCCUGGGGGAGCACCUCCGUGGCCUCCUCCGGCCCCGCUCCAACAGCUCCGUGUCCUUCUGAUGUCGGUAGCCGCAGAGCGGAGGGGCGGAAUCCCUUCUCACAACGCCGGGGAAGGCCCAGCGCCGGGGGCCGCCAUUACGCCGCUUCCCUCACCGCCCACUUCCGGCCCGGAAGUCCGUGUCCCCCCCAAGAUGGCGGCGCUCAACACGGAAGUGCGAAGAGGCGGCGGCCGCCGGGCGGGAGCUUGAGCCCCCUCCCUUCCCUCACCGGGAGGCAGGACAUGGUGCAGGGUGAAGAGCACAGAUAAGGACCCUGCCGCCGCUCCACCGCCCGCCCCCAGGACUUCAUGCGGCAGGACGCGGGCUGAUGCCCUCCGCACGCCCUGCCAUGGACGGGGGGCAGCACUUCCCGCAGCAGGAGCACCAACAGCCGGGCAACGCGCUCUGCAGCCUCCCCGGCCUCCGCUCCCCGCUCCCUGCCCCAGCCAUGGAGGUGAGCGCCUCAGCAGCUUCUCUGGAGGGAACAGGCUCUUCUGAGGGUGCCACCAGAGGGGUCUGACAAUACCUCUUUAAAGCUUGUAGGUGUCAGGCUGCUCCGGAGAGGACUAAAGGGUUAACGCA
RNAcentral lists this long non-coding RNA (1417 nucleotides) under Calidris pygmaea (Spoon-billed sandpiper). RNAcentral's name for it is "lncRNA (ENSCPGG00000002378.1)". Lineage: Eukaryota; Metazoa; Chordata; Aves; Charadriiformes; Scolopacidae. The record is from RNAcentral.